Poeciliopsis prolifica (blackstripe livebearer) is the source of this 692-nucleotide long non-coding RNA. RefSeq lists it as uncharacterized. The transcript has 2 exons. The record is from RefSeq and is a predicted model, not a curated record. Lineage: Eukaryota; Metazoa; Chordata; Actinopteri; Cyprinodontiformes; Poeciliidae.
UAGUUGUUUUUACCGACGUUGCUUAGCAGGCUGUCAGAGUUUGAGUUUGGCUUGUUUUCUGGAUCAGAGAUCUAUUAAUAUUGAUAUCAUGUUAAUAUCACAGUGUUUAUUGUUUUUCAUUUAUUGCUCAACCCUGUAUGACAGACAUGUUUAACAGUCAAAUGAUUAGAAAACGAGCGGAGGUCAGACGAGUCGUCUUUUUCCCAGGAAAAGGGAGUUCACCCCGUCAAGCUGGCUCAGUCAUUCGGUGGCGCACAAACUCAUCCAAGCCUGAUUAUUUUUCAGUGACAACACCCUGAGUUUGAUGAGGAUAAAACCCCAGAAUACCAAACUCCUCGAUUGCAACUCGCUGACAUGUCAUCAGUUGAACAUGAAACGGGACGGAAACCUCGCGGAGGUAGCGGCCCCGUGCUCGGCCGUUCGGCGUCUGGCCCAGAGGAGCAACAUCUGCGGUGAAGUCACACCGAGGAGCCGGAGGUCGAAGUGACGAGCCGAGCUGUGGGAAUUCCAGCUCACACACUUUGGCUGCGGAGAAUAUUGAGCAAAGUUCGUGUCCAAGAAGCAAAGCAGCCAGAAAUCCAGUCACCAGUUUCUGAUUCCAGAAUUUUGUGUUUGGAAUCUGAUGUGGGUCAAAGAGGACUUGGAAAAUAUUUCCUACUUCAGCUUGUGCUUAAAUAAAUUUUACAGUAUCA